This 918-nucleotide ribosomal RNA is filed under the name uncultured bacterium. RNAcentral's name for it is "bacterial SSU rRNA". It matches the Rfam family "Bacterial small subunit ribosomal RNA", at positions 8 to 916 of the family's 1533-position model. The record is from RNAcentral.
AGAGUUUGAUCCUGGCUCAGAUUGAACGCUGGCGGCAGGCCUAACACAUGCAAGUCGAGCGGUAGAGAGAAGCUUGCUUCUCUUGAGAGCGGCGGACGGGUGAGUAAUGCCUAGGAAUCUGCCUGGUAGUGGGGGAUAACGUUCGGAAACGGACGCUAAUACCGCAUACGUCCUACGGGAGAAAGCAGGGGACCUUCGGGCCUUGCGCUAUCAGAUGAGCCUAGGUCGGAUUAGCUAGUUGGUGGGGUAAUGGCUCACCAAGGCGACGAUCCGUAACUGGUCUGAGAGGAUGAUCAGUCACACUGGAACUGAGACACGGUCCAGACUCCUACGGGAGGCAGCAGUGGGGAAUAUUGGACAAUGGGCGAAAGCCUGAUCCAGCCAUGCCGCGUGUGUGAAGAAGGUCUUCGGAUUGUAAAGCACUUUAAGUUGGGAGGAAGGGCAGUUACCUAAUACGUAAUUGUUUUGACGUUACCGACAGAAUAAGCACCGGCUAACUCUGUGCCAGCAGCCGCGGUAAUACAGAGGGUGCAAGCGUUAAUCGGAAUUACUGGGCGUAAAGCGCGCGUAGGUGGUUUGUUAAGUUGGAUGUGAAAUCCCCGGGCUCAACCUGGGAACUGCAUUCAAAACUGACUGACUAGAGUAUGGUAGAGGGUGGUGGAAUUUCCUGCGUAGCGGUGAAAUGCGUAGAUAUAGGAAGGAACACCAGUGGCGAACGCGACCACCUGGACUAAUACUGACACUGAGUGCGAAAGCGUGGGGGAGCAAACAGGAUUAGAUACCCUGGGUAGUCCAUGCCGUAAACGAUGGUCCAACUUAAGCCGUUGGAAGCCUUGAGCUUUUAGUGGCGCAGCUAACGCAUUAAGUUGACCGCCUGGGGAGUACGGCCGCAAGGUUAAAACUCAAAUGAAUUGACGG